UAAACCAUUUUUUUUUGAAAUACGAACUUUAAAUCCUAAACCAUCAAUCCUAAACCUCUUUUUUUUUUUGAAAUACGAACCCUAAACCCUAAACAAUCAAUCCUAAAUCCUUUUUUUUAAAUAUGAACCCUGAACCCUGAAACAUCAACUCUAAACCCUAAACCCCGAAACAUCAACUCUAAGCCUUAGACCAUAAACCUUCAACUCUAAACCCUAAAACAUUAACUCUAAACCCUAAACCAUCAAUCCUAAACCCUAUUUUUUUUUAAAUAUGAACCCUAAACCCUGAAACAUCAACUCUAAACCCUAAACCAUCAAUCCUAAACCUUUUUUUUAAUACGAACCCUGAACCCUAAACCCUGAAACAUCAACUCUAAACCCUAAACCCCAAAACAUCAACUCUAAACCAUAAACCCCAAAACAUCAACUCUAAACCCUAAAUCUUAAGUUCAGAUUAGUUAACCAUAUUUUUUUUUUGUCAAAGUUAAUCGAAAAGUUAUAAAUGGUUAGUGUAAACAUGAAAAGUGGUUAGUGUAAACAUGAAAAGUGGUACUUUGAAAAUGGUAUUUUUGGCAAUUUCCCAUUGAUAAUUUAGAAAUCAAAUUUAAUUAUUAAUAACAAUUAGAGUUAUAAACCCCCACUUAUUUUAAUUAUAUUUUUUAAUAAUCAUUUG
This 673-nucleotide long non-coding RNA is filed under the name Brassica rapa (field mustard). RNAcentral describes it as "long non-coding RNA (BRAP_LNC000537)". Lineage: Eukaryota; Viridiplantae; Streptophyta; Magnoliopsida; Brassicales; Brassicaceae. The record is from RNAcentral.